GCUAGCCCAAGAGAAUCUGAAGAAUUUUUACAUACAACUGCUCUAUCAUCCCUGGGACUGUUACUGUUAUAGCUAGAAUAACACAGGCGUUAAGUCCCGUGUGCUGAAAUGACUUGGGUACCGCAACAAAUGUAACACGUCAGCACCUAAAUGACACCCCAACCCCCAACGCCAGGCAAAUAACAGAGGCUGACAGAUGAUAAAGCAAGAAACGGUUCUUCCAGUAAAGGGUAACUAACUGGCCUCGGAGGAAAAGCGCACUGCAGCAGGGAUGAGCAAGCCCGUGCCAGCCGGAACUGCCAGGGCUGCCCCACGGUGGCAACCUGCUCUUCACCACCUGUCCAGCCACCUGCCUGAGGAAGUCCUUCCAAGGAGGGUUCACCUCAGCAAGAAACCACACGCAGUUUUCAAGAGAAACCAGAAAGGGAAAGCCAAGGGUGCAACUUUAUUCUUAGGCAAAAGACAACAAAAAAGACAUGUGUCUCUCUGCACAGCAGAACGCCUGAGCGGCUGGAGUUCUCCGCGGAGAGAGUUCUGUGCCCAGCGGAUGAUUGGGAUGUGUGAAAGCACCAGUCCUGCUGUUCCAAAGCUGCAAAGAUCACCAUGACACAGGACAACAACAGGAUAACCAGGAGGAGGACCCAAUAUUGAUGGUAUCAUAAAAGUCAAAGAUCUCGAACCAGACCCAUAGUGACUCAUUGCCAUGAACAUCUGCAAAUGAACAAGUGUGGACAGAGAGACGUCCUCUGGGACACACUGUGACAUACUACAGCUUUCCACAAUGAGAUGUUUUCUAUGCUUUGA
This is a long non-coding RNA of Apodemus sylvaticus (European woodmouse), 804 nucleotides long. RefSeq lists it as uncharacterized. The transcript has 2 exons. The record is from RefSeq and is a predicted model, not a curated record. NCBI's taxonomy places the organism in Eukaryota, Metazoa, Chordata, Mammalia, Rodentia, Muridae.